Molecule: non-coding RNA, 28 nt
Filed under: Mus musculus (house mouse)
Lineage: Eukaryota; Metazoa; Chordata; Mammalia; Rodentia; Muridae
Source: RNAcentral
UNCCCAGGCCUGCCUUGCUCUCUGAGGU